GAUGAACGCUGGCGGCGUGCCUAAUACAUGCAAGUCGAGCGAACAGACGAGGAGCUUGCUCCUCUGACGUUAGCGGCGGACGGGUGAGUAACACGUGGAUAACCUACCUAUAAGACUGGGAUAACUUCGGGAAACCGGAGCUAAUACCGGAUAAUAUAUUGAACCGCAUGGUUCAAUAGUGAAAGACGGUUUUGCUGUCACUUAUAGAUUGAUCCGCGCCGCAUUAGCUAGUUGGUAAGGUAACGGCUUACCAAGGCAACGAUGCGUAGCCGACCUGAGAGGGUGAUCGGCCACACUGGAACUGAGACACGGUCCAGACUCCUACGGGAGGCAGCAGUAGGGACUCUUCCGCAAUGGGCGAAAGCUUGACGGAGCAACGCCGCGUGAGUGAUGAAGGUCUUCGGAUCGUAAAACUCUGUUAUUAGGGAAGAACAAAUGUGUAAGUAACUAUGCACGUCUUGACGGUACCUAAUCAGAAAGCCACGGCUAACUACGUG
Molecule: ribosomal RNA, 497 nt
Filed under: uncultured bacterium
Lineage: Bacteria
Description: partial 16S ribosomal RNA
Rfam family: Bacterial small subunit ribosomal RNA
Source: RNAcentral